CUAGACGGUCGUCUAACUAACAACCGGUUGUUGUGUAAAAGCUUUAAAUGUUUUAAAAGAAAAUUUGUGGAAAAUAAGAAAGAGAUUACAAAAACGAAAGUGAAAAUAUUAAAGAGUGUUUUUUGCUAGGAAAAAGGAUAUAGUUGCAUGUUCAAUGAAAACAGACUUGCAACAUGUUUGUUAUAAGGUUUAAGCAAAUAUAAACUGGUAUGAAGAAAAUACGUUUUUACUUGUAUUAAACACUAACAGUUAAAUUGGAUGCUUAAUGAACAGUUAGUCUACGUGGGUUACUUGUCGGUUAAAGCUUAAAGUUAACGGAAUAUGAAGAAUAUAAUAGAAAAACAAUUUAUUUGAAAAUAAGUAAAUAAAUUAUAUAAAAAGUGCUUAAGGAAAAGAAAAUUGUAAAUAUUUACAAUGUGAAUUCAAAAAAAAAAGUGAAAAAAUAUACAAAUUACUAUAUUUUGAAAAGUAUCUUAUAGUUUUAUGUAGAAAAAACAACAAUAAAUAAGAUACACCUUUUCUGAAAAUGUAAAUCCACAGGCGUUGCCACAGAAUACAAGAAAAUAAUGUAAAUAAAUCUAAAAAACGAACAAUUUACCACAUACAAGUUUCUCAACUAA
Molecule: long non-coding RNA, 620 nt
Organism: Lucilia cuprina (Australian sheep blowfly)
Lineage: Eukaryota; Metazoa; Arthropoda; Insecta; Diptera; Calliphoridae
Exons: 2
Source: RefSeq, a predicted model, not a curated record